AGCGAACGCUGGCGGCAGGCCUAACACAUGCAAGUCGAACGAACCUUUCGGGGUUAGUGGCGGACGGGUGAGUAACACGUGGGAACGUGCCUUUAGGUUCGGCAUAACUCAGGGAAACUUGUGCUAAUACCGAAUGUGCCCUUCGGGGGAAAGAUUUAUCGCCUUUAGAGCGGCCCGCGUCUGAUUAGCUAGUUGGUUGAGGUAAUGGCUCACCAAGGCGACGAUCAGUAGCUGGUCUGAGAGGAUGAUCAGCCACAUUGGGACUGAGACACGGCCCAAACUCCUACGGGAGGCAGCAGUGGGGAAUCUUGCGCAAUGGGCGAAAGCCUGACGCAGCCAUGCCGCGUGAAUGAUGAAGGUCUUAGGAUUGUAAAAUUCUUUCGCCGGGGACGAUAAUGACGGUACCCGGAGAAGAAGCCCCGGCUAACUUCGUG
RNAcentral lists this ribosomal RNA (434 nucleotides) under uncultured bacterium. Its description in RNAcentral is "partial 16S ribosomal RNA". It matches the Rfam family "Bacterial small subunit ribosomal RNA", at positions 29 to 507 of the family's 1533-position model. The record is from RNAcentral.